CACGCCAUAAACGAUGAGUGCUAGGUGUUGGGGGUCAAACCUCGGUGCCGCAGUUAACGCAUUAAGCACUCCGCCUGGGGAGUACGUUCGCAAGAAUAAAACUCAAAGGAAUUGACGGGGGCCCGCACAAGCAGUGGAGUAUGUGGUUUAAUUCGAAGCAACGCGAAGAACCUUACCAGGGCUUGACAUCCUCGGACGACACUAGAGAUAGUGUUUUCUCUUCGGAGACUGAGAGACAGGUGG
RNAcentral lists this ribosomal RNA (243 nucleotides) under uncultured Eubacteriales bacterium. Its description in RNAcentral is "uncultured Clostridiales bacterium partial 16S ribosomal RNA". It matches the Rfam family "Bacterial small subunit ribosomal RNA", at positions 796 to 1041 of the family's 1533-position model. Lineage: Bacteria; Bacillati; Bacillota; Clostridia; Eubacteriales. The record is from RNAcentral.